Molecule: ribosomal RNA, 239 nt
Filed under: uncultured bacterium
Lineage: Bacteria
Description: partial 16S ribosomal RNA
Rfam family: Bacterial small subunit ribosomal RNA
Source: RNAcentral
GAUCAUGGCUCAGGAUGAACGCUGGCAGCGUGCUUAACACAUGCAAGUCGAGCGUAAGCACUUAGGAAAGAUUCUUCGGAUGAUUUCCUAUUUGACUGAGCGGCGGACGGGUGAGUAACGCGUGGGUAACCUGCCGUCAUACAGGGGGAUAACAGUUAGAAAUGACUGCUAAUACCGCAUAAGACCACAGCACCGCAUAGGUGCAGGGGUAAAAACUCCGGUGGUAUGAGAUGGACCCG